AUGGUUAAGUUAGAAAGGGCGCACGGUGGAUGCCUUGGCACUAGGAGCCGAUGAAGGACGGGACGAACACCGAUAUGCUUCGGGGAGCUGUAAGCAAGCUUUGAUCCGGAGAUUUC
Molecule: ribosomal RNA, 116 nt
Filed under: Bacillus stratosphericus
Lineage: Bacteria; Bacillati; Bacillota; Bacilli; Caryophanales; Bacillaceae
Description: partial 23S ribosomal RNA
Rfam family: Bacterial large subunit ribosomal RNA
Source: RNAcentral